CCUACGGGGGGCAGCAGUGGGGGAUAUUGCACAAUGGGGGGAACCCUGAUGCAGCGACGCCGCGUGAGCGAUGAAGUAUUUCGGUAUGUAAAGCUCUAUCAGCAGGGAAGAAAAUGACGGUACCUGACUAAGAAGCCCCGGCUAACUACGUGCCAGCAGCCGCGGUAAUACGUAGGGGGCAAGCGUUAUCCGGAUUUACUGGGUGUAAAGGGAGCGUAGACGGUCCUGCAAGCCAGAUGUGAAAGCCCGGGGCUCAACCCCGGGACUGCAUUUGGAACUGUAAGGCUAGAGUGUCGGAGAGGCAGGCGGAAUUCCUAGUGUAGCGGUGAAAUGCGUAGAUAUUAGGAGGAACACCAGUGGCGAAGGCGGCCGCCUGGCCUGUUACUGACGCUGAGGCACGAAAGCGUGGGGAGCAAAUAGGAUUAGAUACCCUUGUAGUC
This 440-nucleotide ribosomal RNA is filed under the name uncultured bacterium. RNAcentral's name for it is "partial 16S ribosomal RNA". It matches the Rfam family "Bacterial small subunit ribosomal RNA", at positions 338 to 795 of the family's 1533-position model. The record is from RNAcentral.